This 396-nucleotide ribosomal RNA is filed under the name uncultured archaeon. RNAcentral's name for it is "bacterial SSU rRNA". It matches the Rfam family "Archaeal small subunit ribosomal RNA", at positions 321 to 722 of the family's 1478-position model. The record is from RNAcentral.
CCCUACGGGGCGCAGCAGUCGCGGAAACUCCGCAAUACACGAAAGUGUGACGGGGCUAUCCCGAGUGCCGUCCGCUGAGGAUGGCUUUUCCCUAGUGUAUAAAGCUGGGGGAAUAAGGAGAGGGCAAGACUGGUGUCAGCCGCCGCGGUAAUACCAGCUCUCCGAGUGGUGGGGACAUUUAUUGGGCCUAAAGCAUUCGUAGCCUGUUGGGCAAGUCCUCCGUUAAAUCCAACGAUUCAAUCGUUGGGCUGCGGGGGAUACUGUCCGGCUAGGGGGCGGGAGAGGCCGACGGUAUUCUCGGGGUAGGGGUGAAAUCCUAUAAUCCCGGGAGGACCACCAGUGGCGAAGGCUGUCGGCUAGAACGCGCUCGACGGUGAGGAAUUGGCGGGGGAGCAC